RNAcentral lists this long non-coding RNA (1238 nucleotides) under Dromaius novaehollandiae (emu). RNAcentral describes it as "lncRNA (ENSDNVG00000001116.1)". Lineage: Eukaryota; Metazoa; Chordata; Aves; Casuariiformes; Dromaiidae. The record is from RNAcentral.
CACCUACAGCCUUAGCCAUUUUAUCUCCUUCUAUCUGCACAGGGUAAUUUAAUCGCAUAUCACAUCCUCCUAGCCUUUCCUACCUCAGGUUCCCAGCAYGGCAUUUCAAAUCCAAUUUUUAUUGCUAGCCAGAAAGCACUCUUUCAGCUACUGCCAAGUGACAAGGCACUAGAUCUCACUGGGAAGUACUUUGGCACGUCAGAGUCUUCUGACCAAGACAAGCUGAGUAACAUCUGCACGGGAGGAGGAGGCGGCGCUAUAGAAGGAAGCUUCAAAUACUGCUGAGCCGUCAACAAGGGGCACAGCUCCUGCACCCCACGCCCUUCCUCCAGCCACACAAGCUCUGUCACCAAGUUCGCCUGCUCCUCCUGACUGGGAUAUGAGGCCACACGCUCCCUGGAUGCCCUGCCUUCAGUGGGAUCCACUACUGAUGUUGUGGCAUUAAACCAACAGCCGGCAGGACCAGUGAUGCAGAGUUCCAUUCAUUAGUUCAUCACCUCCGAACCGUUCAGCCGCUGCUCUUACUCCAAGGCAUUCUCUGGACACCUUAUCUGGAAGGACACAGCAUAUUACUUCCUAACAAUAACUGUGAGCUGGAAACCAAGUUAACCCCAAGGUCCCUUCUGACUCACCUGACAAACCACCUUGGCUCCUGUGCUGUCCUGGGCCAUUUCUUCCAUCACACUCCCCCUUUGCUCCUCUGGUACCUGCUCACCUCCGAGGAACUCCCUCCAAGGCAGGAGGAUUUCACAGGCAAGGCUCUCCCUUYGGCAGGGCUGCACACAUCCCUCUACGCGGGUGCAGAUGCAGACAGAUUCCCCCAUGGCCAUCCUGCUGGGAAACACAGGGGUUAUUUGCUACCACGAUGCUAUAGCACCAAGCCAUCUCUUCAGCCUCUAUCUCACUUCCCUUCCUCCAAGCUCCCUUUUAAAGGUCUGGAAGGAGCUUGCUACCUCUUGAGUUGCUGGAGGAAAACAAGCAUAGUCCUGRCCUCCCUAAGCAGCUGGCAGGCUCCAGCUUCCCAUGGUGAGGGACAGCUCAUCAGCUUUCCUCAGUCAAUGGCAGGGGAAAGGACAUGUUCCACAGUACUGGGGACCUUGCCCUUCAAGCUCCUGUCUGCUCCCAUUCCUCCAGAAGCAGUGAGAUGCUGUUUUAUAGCCAUCUGCCAUCCUUUUCUCAUACUUGUAACUUUGCUGCCUAGCCCCUCUGCAGCCAUCUCAUCUGCCCCACAUUCAGCA